Long non-coding RNA from Saccostrea cuccullata (small rock oyster), 499 nucleotides. RefSeq lists it as uncharacterized. Lineage: Eukaryota; Metazoa; Mollusca; Bivalvia; Ostreida; Ostreidae. The transcript is spliced from 2 exons. The record is from RefSeq and is a predicted model, not a curated record.
UCGAUGGAAACGUUUUAACUGCAGACAUCAGCUGACUACGACGUGACAUCUCUUGAAUGCUGUCGAUUAUAUAUUUUACGGAUUUGUACAUAGCCUGUCCACUUUUCAAAUGAAAAUAGGGUUCUGCCUUGAACACCAAACUCUAUGGAAAAUGUUUGAGAACAUGUACCAUGCCAUGUACCAUCUCACUCUGGUAUAAUAAGUCAAAUGUGAAGGAACAAUGAUUGGUUACAAACCUGCACAGGAUUAAAUCAACAAAAGUGCCAAGUGGUGUGUCCCAUGUAUGCACGAAUGAGUUGCACAUAACUGGAUUUCAAUGAUUUAAUUAUCCUGUUUAGAACUCCAAUUUUUUCAACUAUACUGUGUAUAUCAAGAAUGUGAUUAUUAUUAACUUUUGUAUAUCAUAACUCAAAGACAAACUGCAUCAAUAUAAAUAUUAAAUACACUGUAAUUUAAUAUGACUAUAAUGAAAUAUUAUUAAAAUCAUUGUUAUAUUUUA